GACGAACGCUGGCGGCGUGCUUAACACAUGCAAGUCGAACGGAAAGGCCCUGCUGUUGUGGGGUGCUCGAGUGGCGAACGGGUGAGUAACACGUGAGUAACCUGCCCUUGACUUUGGGAUAACUUCAGGAAACUGGGGCUAAUACCGGAUAGGAGCUCCUGCUGCAUGGUGGGGGUUGGAAAGUUUCGGCGGUUGGGGAUGGACUCGCGGCUUAUCAGCUUGUUGGUGGGGUAGUGGCUUACCAAGGCUUUGACGGGUAGCCGGCCUGAGAGGGUGACCGGCCACAUUGGGACUGAGAUACGGCCCAGACUCCUACGGGAGGCAGCAGUGGGGAAUAUUGCACAAUGGGCGGAAGCCUGAUGCAGCAACGCCGCGUGCGGGAUGACGGCCUUCGGGUUGUAAACCGCUUUCGCCUGUGACGAAGCGUGAGUGACGGUAAUGGGGAAAGAAGCACCGGCUAACUACGU
Molecule: ribosomal RNA, 467 nt
Filed under: uncultured bacterium
Lineage: Bacteria
Description: partial 16S ribosomal RNA
Rfam family: Bacterial small subunit ribosomal RNA
Source: RNAcentral